This 1466-nucleotide long non-coding RNA is filed under the name Homo sapiens (human). Its description in RNAcentral is "HSALNT0223053". The record is from RNAcentral. Lineage: Eukaryota; Metazoa; Chordata; Mammalia; Primates; Hominidae.
CUGGAUCUCCCCUGCCCCCAGCUGGUUGCCCCCAGGCCAGGCCUGGUUUUAUACCCUCCUCAGUUCCCUUUGGCACCCAGACAGGACUAGGGAGACAGUGGCCCCAGAAGCAGUUUAAAAUUUUUUUAUUAUUUUGAAAAGGGAUUACAUUCACAUGUUUCAAAAUCCAAACAAGAUAACACAGCAUAGAGAAAGAAGCCUUUCCGCCUUCCUACUCUGUAACCCUGCUUUUCGUUUCCUGUGUGUCCUUUCAGAGCUCCUUUUGCUUUCAAAAGCAAAUACAAAUACGGGCAGCUUCUGAAUGGAUGGCCAAGUGACUCUGGAGCUUCCGCGCUGUGUGAGGGCUGGGCUUUCUGUCCCUGUUCACCCUCGAACCCAGGCUUCAGCCACCGCACGGGAGAAGAUGGUUCAGACCACACCUCUACCCUGACUCAGCACACACAGCUGUACCGUCAGGGGCUGCAAACCAACAUCUCUCAGGGCCUUCCUGGAAGCUGCGGCUGGACUCCCCUUGUACUCCAGGGGAGCAUCCCUGGAGGCCCAGGUCGGGGCUCCUGGAGGGUCCCUGGGUUCUGGGGGACAGAAGAACAGGGAGGAAGAAUCCAGAUGUGGCUCACUGGGCUCUGUGGAUCUGGCACUGGAACAGCUGUCCAGGCUUUGGGGCCCCCGACACCCCUGCUGCUCUCCCUCAGGCCCCAGAUCUGCUUGGGCCCCCAGUGGGCAACCGCUCGGUGCUGGCCCACCACAGGGAAAUAUUCCGGUGGAGGGGGAUCUGAGACUGCCUUGGCCAAUAGAAUGCAGCCAAUGUGGUGCUAUGCGUCUGCCUGGCCUCGGCCUUGAGAGACCUGGGAGCUUCCAUUUAUGUCAUCUUGGAGUGCUGAGUUACCUUAAAGAAGUCUAAAACUCAGAGAGACCAUGUGGAAAGAGAGGAGCCAGCGGCCCUGCAGUCCUUCCAGCCUCCCAGCUGAGGCAACAGACAUGGUCAGAAGCCAUCUAGGACCUUCAGCGGCAGUGAAGUCUCCCCAGUCGAUGCCACACAGAACUGAGAUGAGCUGUUCUCACCAAGCUCUGCCCAAGUUCCAGAGCUAGGAACAAAUAAACAGUUGUUUUAAACCACGAAGUUGUGGGCGUGGUCGUUAUGCAGAAAUAGAUAACUGAUCCAAUCCUUCAUGCCUUCUGCACCAUCUUCACCCCAACUUGGCUUGUGCAAGGUUGAGCUCCUUGGCCCCAGCUGACUGGACAAGGGGAUGGGCACCUGACUUCAAGGCAGCCAACCGAUUGGCUGGGCCCCAGGGCACAGCCACUCUCUCUCCUGGGCAAACAGGGCUCAUGAGCUGGAGUCUGCUUCUAUCCUCUCCACACAGCCCUGAGGCCUCCAGUGGCAAAGCAGAGGGUAUGGCCAGGUUUGGUUUCUACCCCAACCCAUUUGCCAUCCCUGUUGUGUCCCGCACAGUCCCUUACCCUAC